This is a long non-coding RNA of Alnus glutinosa, 406 nucleotides long. RefSeq lists it as uncharacterized. Lineage: Eukaryota; Viridiplantae; Streptophyta; Magnoliopsida; Fagales; Betulaceae. The record is from RefSeq and is a predicted model, not a curated record. The transcript is spliced from 2 exons.
CACUCUCUUCCCCAUUCCUCUUUCUUUUCUUCUCUCUUUUCUCCCCACCUGCACACCCUCAUCUCCCCCUUUCUUUUAUCAUGCAGCCCUUCCCCUUUCCCUUUCCUCUUCUCUUUGGUUUACACACGUACAAGCAACCCUAGAUGAAGAGAAACACCGAGAGAGAAUCCGGCCAUGGGCUUUAAGAGGUACUCCGGUAUAGUGGAUGGUUUGGUAGUAGUGUACUCUAGAUGUUAUAACUGAAGCUCGCCGCGACGGUCAUAAUUGCUCGACCACGGGUGUCCACUGUUUAAUAGGUUUUAUUUAUAACUUGUGACGCAUGUGUCACUUGUUAUUGUAUAAGCCAUUUCUGUUGUGAAAUUAAUGUGUUUGAUUUGAGGAAAGACAUAAACAGAUAGAUGUAAUA